CGGUUGAUCCUGCCGGACCCUACUGCUAUCGGGGUGGGACUAAAACAUGCAAGUCGAGCGUCUCCCAACAUGUUGUGGAGGCGCGGCGUACGGCUCAGUAACACGUGGCCAACCUGCCCUUAGGACGGGAAUACCCCCAGGAAACCACGCACAGACCUUGACCACGUAAACACAAAUUCUCCAAAUCCAAAAAUCCCAUAACACAAAAAACACUUCACUACACCGCCUUGCCGAUUUCUAAGCUGGCAAAGGCCUAUCUCAAACUAACCAAAAACUACACGCAACUUUCUAAGAAUAGAAACUUAAGGCUCUGGCGUAGCCCAAAACUGGGGUUAAUUCCCGAUAGGCGAAGAAGCCUGGAAUGGUUCUUCGCCGAAAAGACGUUAGAGGCAUGCUCUCUAACGUCGCCUAAGGAUGGGGCCGCGGCCGAUCAGGCUGUUGGUGAGGUAACGGCUCACCAAGCCUAUAACCGGUACGGGCCGUGAGAGCGGGAGCCCGGAGAUGGGCACUGAGAUAAGGGCCCAGGCCCUACGGGGCGCAGCAGUUGCGAAAACUCGCCAAUGCACGAAAGUGUGAGCGGGCUACCCCGAGUGCCGUCCGCUGAGGACGGCUUUUCUCUGCUGUAAGGAAGCAGAGGAAUAAGGAGAGGGCAAGACUGGUGUCAGCCGCCGCGGUAAUACCAGCUCUCCGAGUGGUAGGGAGAUUAUUGGGCAUAAAGCGUCCGUAGCCGGCUUGACAAGUCCCCCGUUAAAUCCAGCUAACCAAUAGCUGGGCUGCGGGGGAUACUGUCAGGCUAGGGGGCGGGAGAGGCCGACGGUAUUCUCGGGGUAGGGGUGAAAUCCUAUAAUCCCGAGAGGACCACCAGUGGCGAAGGCUGUCGGCUUGCCCGCGCCCGACGGUGAGGGACGAAAGCUGGGGGAGCGAACCGGAUUAGAUACCCGGGUAGUCCCAGCUGUAAACGAUGCGGGCUAGGUGUCGGGGUGGCUACGAGCCACUCCGGUGCCGCAGCGAAUGCGUUAAGCCCGCCGCCUGGGAAGUACGGCCGCAAGGCUGAAACUUAAAGGAAUUGGCGGGGGAGCAC
Molecule: ribosomal RNA, 1081 nt
Filed under: uncultured archaeon
Lineage: Archaea
Description: bacterial SSU rRNA
Rfam family: Archaeal small subunit ribosomal RNA
Source: RNAcentral